RNAcentral lists this transfer RNA (77 nucleotides) under Microvirga lotononidis. RNAcentral describes it as "tRNA-OTHER". The record is from RNAcentral. Lineage: Bacteria; Pseudomonadati; Pseudomonadota; Alphaproteobacteria; Hyphomicrobiales; Methylobacteriaceae.
CCCUAUGACCUCAAGUUGGUCAGAGCAGAGGAAUCAUAAUCCUUGUGUCGGGGGUUCAAAUCCCUCCUCCGCUACCA